RNAcentral lists this ribosomal RNA (253 nucleotides) under uncultured bacterium. RNAcentral describes it as "partial 16S ribosomal RNA". It matches the Rfam family "Bacterial small subunit ribosomal RNA", at positions 524 to 776 of the family's 1533-position model. The record is from RNAcentral.
UACAGAGGGUGCGAGCGUUAAUCGGAAUUACUGGGCGUAAAGCGCACGUAGGCGGCUUUGCAAGUCGGGUGUGAAAUCCCCGGGCUCAACCUGGGAACUGCAUCCGAGACUGCAUUGCUAGAGUAUGGGAGAGGGAAGCGGAAUUUCUGGUGUAGCAGUGAAAUGCGUAGAUAUCAGAAGGAACAUCAGUGGCGAAGGCGGCUUCCUGGACCAAUACUGACGCUGAUACGCGAAAGCGUGGGGAGCAAACAGG